This 204-nucleotide long non-coding RNA is filed under the name Mytilus galloprovincialis (Mediterranean mussel). Lineage: Eukaryota; Metazoa; Mollusca; Bivalvia; Mytilida; Mytilidae. The record is from RNAcentral.
CUCGUCCUGCAUAUGUUUACAUUGUUUGCCAUCUGCUGUUUAGCCAACAACAAUCAUUGUCAAAUUUCCACAAAUAUAAAUUAAAUUAAAAUGUAUGUUUCAAAACGAUCACUGCUUUUGGAUCGUCAAUAUUUUGAAUACAACAAUUAUAUUAUGAUUUAACUUGUGCAUGUUGUAAAAUACGUAAAAUGGUUGUAUUGAUAG